AUGAACGCUGGCGGCAUGCCUAAUACAUGCAAGUCGAGCGAACAGACGAGGAGCUUGCUCCUCUGACGUUAGCGGCGGACGGGUGAGUAACACGUGGAUAACCUACCUAUAAGACUGGGAUAACUUCGGGAAACCGGAGCUAAUACCGGAUAAUAUAUUGAACCGCAUGGUUCAAUAGUGAAAGACGGUUUUGCUGUCACUUAUAGAUGGAUCCGCGCCGCAUUAGCUAGUUGGUAAGGUAACGGCUUACCAAGGCAACGAUGCGCAGCCGACCUGAGAGGGUGAUCGGCCACACUGGAACUGAGACACGGUCCAGACUCCUACGGGAGGCAGCAGUAGGGAAUCUUCCGCAAUGGGCGAAAGCCUGACGGAGCAACGCCGCGUGAGUGAUGAAGGUCUUCGGAUCGUAAAACUCUGUUAUUAGGGAAGAACAAAUGUGUAAGUAACUAUGCACGUCUUGACGGUACCUAAUCAGAAAGCCACGGCUAACUACGUG
Molecule: ribosomal RNA, 496 nt
Filed under: uncultured bacterium
Lineage: Bacteria
Description: partial 16S ribosomal RNA
Rfam family: Bacterial small subunit ribosomal RNA
Source: RNAcentral